This 263-nucleotide long non-coding RNA is filed under the name Volvox carteri. RNAcentral's name for it is "long non-coding RNA (VCAR_LNC000088)". The record is from RNAcentral. Lineage: Eukaryota; Viridiplantae; Chlorophyta; Chlorophyceae; Chlamydomonadales; Volvocaceae.
CAUAUGAACCAAUAACACCUAGAGAGAAAUCAGCUCCGACUUCUCGAAGGGAAGUAUGAGUGUAGAGAUAGGCAAUUUAGUGCGAAGGAACUGCCGUGGUGCGUGGAAGUAGGGCGCAUGCAUGCAUGCAUGUGCCGGACCACAGUACGGCAGUGGACGCCAAGCUUCUACUUGGGUCGUGCGGGCGGAUUGGUUCUCUAACUGCAGUUGUUUUGACUGCUACCAAGAGAUGUAUCCCGAUGCUGGGACAGUGUCCUCAAUUU